GACGAACGCUGGCGGCGUGCCUAAUACAUGCAAGUAGAACGCUGAAGGAGGAGCUUGCUCUUCUGGAUGAGUUGCGAACGGGUGAGUAACGCGUAGGUAACCUGCCUGGUAGCGGGGGAUAACUAUUGGAAACGAUAGCUAAUACCGCAUAACAGUAGAUGUUGCAUGACAUUUACUUAAAAGGUGCAAUUGCAUCACUACCAGAUGGACCUGCGUUGUAUUAGCUAGUUGGUGGGGUAACGGCUCACCAAGGCGACGAUACAUAGCCGACCUGAGAGGGUGAUCGGCCACACUGGGACUGAGACACGGCAGACUCCUACGGGAGGCAGCAGUAGGGAAUCUUCGGCAAUGGACGGAAGUCUGACCGAGCAACGCCGCGUGAAUGAAGAAGGUUUUCGGAUCGUAAAGCUCUGUUGUAAGAGAAGAACGAGUGUGAGAGUGGAAAGUUCACACUGUGACGGUAUCUUACCAGAAAGGGACGGCUAACUACGUG
This 493-nucleotide ribosomal RNA is filed under the name uncultured bacterium. RNAcentral's name for it is "partial 16S ribosomal RNA". It matches the Rfam family "Bacterial small subunit ribosomal RNA", at positions 28 to 507 of the family's 1533-position model. The record is from RNAcentral.